RNAcentral lists this long non-coding RNA (1523 nucleotides) under Panthera leo (lion). RNAcentral's name for it is "lncRNA (ENSPLOG00000006822.1)". Lineage: Eukaryota; Metazoa; Chordata; Mammalia; Carnivora; Felidae. The record is from RNAcentral.
GGUUCAGAGAAGAACCUGAGGGUGGGAGGGUUUGUCCUUCAAACAGUUUACAGCCAAUGGGAGCUUGGAGGGGGGGGGCGAGAGCGGGAGAGGGCCCCUCAUAUGGGGGAGGGGAAUGGCCAACCUCAUGCCUCCAUACCAGUUGGAGGGCAAAGGGGCGUGGGGGCGGUGUGUCCCCCGCAAACCAUUCGUCCCCUGGGGGUAGAGGAGUCCAGAGCCAGGUGAGGCUUCCUUUUGACGGCCGGAGGGAGGGGUGACCUAGUGGGCUGAGGUGUGGGAGUGGUGAAUGUAUUUCCUACUCUUGGGAUGUGAGUGGGCAACCCGGGUUGUGAACUGAGAUUGUUUCCGGGCGCCCACUCCCUUUCUCUCCAGAGACUCUGGAAGGAGCAUUUCUGUGCUUUUGUGUCAGCGGUAGGAAGCUCGCAGUCAUCACAUGGCAUGCUGGAGGUUACGCUUCGAGUCGCUUAUCGAAUUUGUGUGCAUUCACGUGGACACGGCCUGUGGAGCCUUCUGCACAAACCUUCGUUGCCUCGAUAUGCAGUCUGUUUUCUAUCUUGGUAUCCAGAGAAGGGGAGAUGGAGGGAGAGGGAGACCUCCCGCUCCAGCCCAGGUUGGGGAUAAUUCACUCCCAUAAGGGGACGAGGGUGGGUGGGCCCAGACAUGGCUUGAGAGAUCUUGGCCUCAUUGUAAUUCUGGCUCUUUAUUCCUAAGUAGUCUAACCUUAUUCAGGUAACUAGAGUGUGGGGAAGACUUGGUGGGUGGGUUGGGGGAGGGGGCGAGACUGAGCUCCCAAAAUGGCUCCUGCCCCUCCUCGGAGGCGGACGGCCCAGGGGGGAGGGGAGGAGGGGAGAGAAAGAGGGGGAGGGCUAGUCUGAGCCGCUGCCGCCGCCUCCUCCGCUCGCCCUCCUCCCUGGCGCUGACCGAUGGACCAGCCGCUCCGUGGGGAGGACUCCGGACCCUGGUGGGGGGAUGGGGGAGCCCUGCCGCCCCCAUGGCGGUGGGACCCUAAUAGGGGGGUGUGGGCCUGCCCUCGGGGUUGGGGAGGGCCGGGAGCUUGGGGAAAGGUCUGAGCUCGCCAGGAGGGGGAGGGUGUUCACCCUGAUUCGCCCCUCACAGGACUUGCUUUUUCCGCUCUGAGCCAGGCACCGGAAUGAAGUUUAGGGAGGAGGUGGGUUUCGAUUUCUAGAGUAUAUCGGUAUGUUUGGAGCUGUUUCUCCCACUAAGGGCUGCCGGGAUUUUGUCGAGCAGGCAGAUACUUAAUAGUUAACUGAAGGUAUGAGCAGGGAGGGAUUGGAGAGGUGCUUGGGUGCAAGUUUUGGGAACGUGUUCUAGAUUUGGUUGUGUUGAUAAGCCUUUGGGAGCCCAGAUUGUUAGUGUUUUGCCUUUGUUUUUCGAUUUUUUGAACUGGGGAAAGACGGGGAGGCUUUUAAUAAUGCGGCAGGCCUGUAUUUUUGAUUGUGGAGUAUGGGAACGGUAGAUCCCUUCUUUGUUACUUCUGGGAACCCUUAGUUAUUUGCCAGAGA